Molecule: non-coding RNA, 467 nt
Organism: Phoenix dactylifera (date palm)
Lineage: Eukaryota; Viridiplantae; Streptophyta; Magnoliopsida; Arecales; Arecaceae
Source: RefSeq, a predicted model, not a curated record
UAUUUUUAAGCGUUGGUUAUUCUUAGUUGCCAAUCUUCUAUCUUCUGUUAGCUAGCAGAAGAUACUCUACACAUUUUGGAUUAGACUCACCAAACAUUCUCUUAUGCACUCGAUUCGCGAAAUUUUCCAGAAAUCUUCAUAGUUGAAGGUGAUUCAGCAGGUGGUAGUGCAAAGCAAGGUCGUGAUAGGAGAUUUCAGGCUAUUUUGCCCUUGAGGGGUAAGAUUCUGAACAUUGAAAGAAAGGACGAAGCAGCCAUGUAUAAAAAUGAAGAAAUUCAAAAUCUGAUUCUUGCUCUUGGACUUGGAGUGAAGGGGGAGGAUUUUAAGAAAGAAGCCCUUCGGUAUCACAAGAUCAUCAUUUUGACAGAUGCUGAUGUAGAUGGAGCCCACAUUCGAACUCUCCUGCUGACAUUUUUCUUUAGAUAUCAGGUGGCUCAUGGGUGCUGCAGUUCUCUCAGAAACCAGUA